UUUGAUAAUGAAAUGUUUUACUGUUAGGAUGUAGAGUGAAGGAGGCUGAAUACAUCCGAGCUAGCCAUCCAACUCACUCACUCAGAACAGAGACGGGGGCCGACACAGGUUAUCUGACACCUACAACCUGGAGCUGCAAUCACAGCAGCUGUAGAUUGUCCAGCGUGCCCGGGUGGGAACGGCCCCAGGGGAAGGAUGUAGAUGGUACGACGCUGACGAUUCACUCUGUGUUGGGGGAACUCCUUUGUAAACCUGAAGGUGGAAAAAAGGGUCCGGAAGCACGGCCUUCUUGCGCGUCUCUGCGUCGGCCGGCGCGAACUUCGGGGAGAUCAUCCUCAUCAGCUCCAGAAUCUCGUCCUCCGUCAGACCCUGCAGCAGCUGGCGGAUACGCGCUGACUCCGACCGC
Molecule: long non-coding RNA, 406 nt
Organism: Branchiostoma floridae (Florida lancelet)
Lineage: Eukaryota; Metazoa; Chordata; Leptocardii; Amphioxiformes; Branchiostomatidae
Exons: 3
Source: RefSeq, a predicted model, not a curated record